Molecule: ribosomal RNA, 293 nt
Filed under: uncultured bacterium
Lineage: Bacteria
Description: partial 16S ribosomal RNA
Rfam family: Archaeal small subunit ribosomal RNA
Source: RNAcentral
GUGCCAGCCGCCGCGGUGAUACCGGCAGCCCGAGUGAUGACCGAUCUUAUUGGGCCUAAAGCGUCCGUAGCUGGCUACGCAAGUCCAUCGGAAAAUCCACCCGCCCAACGGGUGGGCGUCCGGUGGAAACUGCGUGGCUUGGGACCGGAAGGCGCGACGGGUACGUCCGGGGUAGGAGUGAAAUCCCGUAAUCCCGAACGGACCACCGAUGGCGAAAGCACCUCGAGAAGACGGCUCCGACAGUGAGGGACGAAAGCUAGGGUCUCGAACCGGAUUAGAAACCCCGGUAGUCC